AGUCAUGAGUAAAAUAAGAUUUCGGACGCAAAGACGGGCACCAGGGGUCUCGUUAGGAUUCCGAUCCUGUCCGCAUCAAAUACUGUAAUAUAUACGAGGUGGUCGUAUAAAAACGUACUGAAAUAAUCACGAAGAUCGUUUUUACCCAGAACCAUGGUUCUAGCAUUUUUCAUGUGGACUAAUUUAAAGGAAACUUAGAAAAGUGGCUCAACUCUUGGUUCAGUACAAUAACGAUUCGGUCAAUGCUGGAUACACGGUAAAACACGGGCACUGACCGUGUGCACAGGUUGUAUUUUUGGAAAUGGCUUUAGAAACUCCUUAGCGUUUAGAAAGGUAAAAGCUUAGACCGUUGCUGCUUUACCCGCUCAUAUUUUCUUGACAUUACAGACUUUGAAAUUUUUUCGCACUUCAUUAAGAUCUUGUUACUAUUACUAUUACGUAGUUAGCCGAAGUGUCUCGGCGCAACCGUUUUUAUUGGAAUUGCAAUAUUUUGUACUGGAAUACUUUGUAUGUACUGAAUUGCAAUACUUUGCUGCCCCGAGCCUGGAACUUAUUUAUUAUACCACCGCGUACAGCACAAGCGAUAACUCAGCAUAUAGCUUGAUAUUUUCAUGACCUCCAUCCAGGAGCAUGACCCCGAGACACUUCGAAUAAAUAAUAACUUGCUAAUUCUACACUGUGUGUGUUGUUGCCAUGUUGAAUCGAGACUAACACUCAGCGCUGUGGAAGAACCGUAGUGCGGCGGCUUUCUACUACUCCUUAGCUUGCCGAUACUGCUUUAAGAAAUGAAAAUGCAAUCAUUCCUCACGGUUUCAAAAUUCUAAAUUAAUUUUUUAAAGCAGGAUUUUGUAUUGUUUGUUUUGGUUGUGUAUCGUAUUUUUCGAAAGUAUUUCGUAUUAAUCGCUAAACGAGCAACUGGAUACGCAGUUUUAAAAUUAUUUGCGAUGAAUGACACUUUCCUUUUUGAACUGCUCAUCCCACAGGCCCAAUCCACCAGCGUGACCUACGAUUUUGAAGACUUUCAGACAAGCGGCUGGCAGUGCACAGAUGACUGGCGUCCGGUGGGGGGACUCACUAUCCGCCCGGCUACGACAUCAGCGAUGUCAAGGAGAGUUAUAUGCUGGUCAGCAGCAGCUCCCUGCCCACUCUCAACCAGCCCGCCGCCAUCCUUAUCCGCAACAGCAUCCGGGCAUAUGAGCGUUCCCUCCUGUGGGAAGCCGACAAUUUCAAACAGCUCUAGGUCAACGACGUGGCGCCCUUAUCUUUCGACGAUUCCGCCAAGGUUCCUUGAUUUAAUUAUGUACCAACCCUAUACCCUCCGGCUUGGCCCCCACAGAACCUCUGGCUGUGGCAUUCGGCGGAGAGGUUUCCUGCAGGUUUGAAGCCAAUAACCUGUGAGCCUGGCACAACCUAGCUAGACGCCAGCCUGUGGACGGUGGCCGCCUCGCACAAUAACGCCUCCGCCCACGCUGGCAACUACAUGGCCACGCCCUGCGGCCACACCGGCCGGACACGGACACCAGCUGACAAUCCAGUUCUGUUAUCGCGUCAGUGAUCGCGGUUCCAUUGGCAUCUCGCUGUUCACCAUCACUUUCGAUGUAUAGAAAGUAAGGACACUGGAAGGAAAACGUCGUGGUGACCGGUGCCGCGGAUGCUCCAUCAGUUUAUUAUCGCGUCAGUGGUCGCACCUCCAGAAUACGCUCUUUUCGGUCCGGCACCGCUCGGACAGUGGAAUCCGCAUCGAUCCCCUGCACCGCGCCGGCGACUGUAGCUGACCAGUCUCUUUAUACCACCCAACAGCUUCGUCGCCAUCGACAGCAUCAUGUUACAUGCGAAUACCGGCACGUUGACUUUGAAUAUUUCUGGAAUUUCCAUUUGCCAAAAAAGAUUUCAUUUUUAAAAAAGGUCAGGUCUAAGCGUGCGAGCUCCUGCGCGUAGAUGAUCUAAUUUUUCAAGCGUUGGACGAAGUGGCUGCGGAGUGCGAUUUGCAGGAAGGACUGUUUGGUCGAUGGGAGCUGGUGACAUGUACGUUAACGAUUAACGGAUAGGAGACGUCGGCGGAUUACAGCAGUGUACCGGCACCGUCGCACAAUGAGACCGGAGCACAGGAAGUUGUGUUGACUUUAAAUGUUACGCAUUCGCUGCCGGGAAUUUCGUUUCAGUGGUGGAUAUUGAAAGUUUUGCUACACGAAUGAAAUAUGGUCUAAAUGUUUGUCAUUUGGUUUUGCCGACAUGACAGGAAUUCUUAAAACUGCUGACUAGCGAUCGUAUACCGUAUUUUGUGCGGUGAUCUCGUAGAGUAGUGGCACAAAACAUUCGGUAAAACAGUUAUAUAUGUUCCG
This is a long non-coding RNA of Paramacrobiotus metropolitanus, 2342 nucleotides long. RefSeq lists it as uncharacterized. The record is from RefSeq and is a predicted model, not a curated record. Lineage: Eukaryota; Metazoa; Tardigrada; Eutardigrada; Parachela; Macrobiotidae. The transcript is spliced from 4 exons.